RNAcentral lists this small RNA (3018 nucleotides) under Pan troglodytes (chimpanzee). Its description in RNAcentral is "retained intron". The record is from RNAcentral. Lineage: Eukaryota; Metazoa; Chordata; Mammalia; Primates; Hominidae.
AAAGACUCAGACACUCAGCCAGAGACAGCAGCCCCUGCCAGUGCCCCACCAUUACCCCCCAUAGAGUCCCCACCAGCACCAUGCCGGGGGUACCAGGGCCUGGGCCUGAGCUGGCCGCAGCCCUUGAGGAGCAGUUGGGCCGGGCACUGGAGGAGCUGCGGGCGGUGGCUGAAGCAGGCCGGGUGGCAGUGACCCAGGCAGCCGAGGUAGCUGUAGCCACCGUGGAGCCGGUGGCCCGGGCAGCUGAAGAGCUGCGGGCAGAGAGAGCAGCACUGAGCCGGCGGCUGGAUGCACUGAGCAGGCAGGUGGAGGCUGCCGAGGAUGCUGGGACCCCCGUGGCCCACCCACCUGCCUUCAGCACCCGCCGCCGCUCCUCCACCGGCACCACCCGCAGCACUAGUCUCAUGGAACCAGAGCCAGCAGAGCCUCUCGCUGCAGCAGUGGAAGCGGCCAAUGGGGCUGAGCAGACCCAAGUGAACAAAGCACCAGAAGGGCGGUGCCCUCUGAGCGCUGAGGAGCUGAUGACUAUUGAGGAUGAAGGAGUCUUGGACAAGAUGGUAUAGCCAGAUCCGGUGGGCUGGGGGUUGGCAGAGGCCAGCAGGCACCAGGUAGGCAAUGAUGGGCUCUAUAUGCAGCUGGAUCAGAGCACGGACUUUGAAGAGCGGAAGCUCAUCCGGGCUGCACUUCGUGAGCUCCGACAAAGGAAGAGAGACCCAGAUACUCCCUCCCGCAGCUACUCUCUCCUUGGAUCCAGUUGCCUCUCAAAGUACUGUCAACGACUCCUUCCCCGAAUCCAGAUACUCCUUCUCCCUGCUGCUCCUCUCUCCCUGAAGUCCACUGAUGGCCAUCUUAGCCUCUGCCCCAUCCAGCUUCCCUUUUCCUGGACACAACUACUUCCUCCUCCAGAUAGUUCUUCCCUGGACACAUCUAUUCAUUCCCUUAGAUUCUGGGUUCAAUUGCUUCUCCUCUCAAACACUCUCAAUUACUCCUUCUCUGAAUCUAGCUGCUUCUGCCAGGGCCCACUGAUGGCCACCCCAGUCUCUAUCUCUACCCACCUACUUCUAUUUUAAGCCCAGUUAACCCCCUUCACUAGCUUCUCUCCCAGCUACUCUUCCCCUGGAUCAGAUUGCUUCUCAGAUCCCAUCAAUUGCUCCCUUCCUGGAUCUAAAUAUUCCUGCCUCCAGCUGCUCUUCUCCUCCAACCAAAGACCUGCUGAUGGCCCACCCAGCUACUUCCUCACUCAGCUUCUCCUUCCUUGGACUCAGCUACCCCCUCACUAGAUCUAGAUACCCCUCCUGACUUAGCUACUCAUGCCUAUAGAAACCCUUUUUGGAUCCAUACCCCUUUGAGUUUAGCUAUUCCGUAUUCUCUAGUUUCUGCCUGAGUCGAUCAACCCCUUCCCACACUCCAUUCUCUGUCAAGUUAUGGCUGUCCCCUCACCCCAGCUGCUCCUAGAGAGGCCCUUGUUACCUGUGUCAUUCAUGUUUCUAACAAGCCACCCUCCACCCCGUCUUGUGUGCCCCAUGCACCUGUGCAUCUGUGCUGUGUGGGUGUUGGUGGCCCUUUUGCGCAUGCAUGGGGCAUCCCCUGCCCAGACCAGCGGGACAAGGAGCGGGAACGGCGGCUGCAGGAGGCACGGGGCCGGCCAGGGGAGGGGCGCGGCAACACAGCCACUGAGACCACCACGAGGCACAGCCAGCGGGCAGCUGAUGGCUCUGCUGUCAGCACUGUUACCAAGACUGAGCGGCUCGUCCACUCCAAUGAUGGCACACGGACGGCCCGCACCACCACAGUGGAGUCGAGUUUCGUGAGGCGCUCGGAGAGUAAGGCCACCUGGCGUCGCCCUGUGCCUGCCUACCUGUCCGCCCACCUCCUCCGGCUCUUCCUUGAGCUCUCUCUCCAUGUCUUCAACUGUGCCGUCACUUUCUCUUCUCUGCCUGCGGCUAUCACCACCCCUCCAUACAGCCUCCCAUCCCAUCUCCUGAUGUCCAGCCCAGGCCCUCACCUGGUGCCCCUUCCCCUUUUUUGCAGAUGGCAGUGGCAGCACCAUGAUGCAAACCAAGACCUUCUCCUCUUCCUCCUCAUCCAAGAAGAUGGGCAGCAUCUUCGACCGCGAGGACCAGGCCAGCCCACGGGCCGGCAGCCUGGCGGCGCUCGAGAAACGGCAGGCCGAGAAGAAGAAAGAGCUGAUGAAGGCGCAGAGUCUGCCCAAGACCUCAGCCUCCCAGGCGCGCAAGGCCAUGAUUGAGAAGCUGGAGAAGGAGGGCGCGGCCGGCAGCCCUGGCGGACCCCGCGCAGCCGUGCAGCGAUCCACCAGCUUCGGGGUCCCCAACGCCAACAGCAUCAAGCAGAUGCUGCUGGACUGGUGCCGAGCCAAGACUCGCGGCUACGAGCACGUCGACAUCCAGAACUUCUCCUCCAGCUGGAGUGAUGGGAUGGCCUUCUGUGCCCUGGUGCAUAACUUCUUCCCUGAGGCCUUCGACUAUGGGCAGCUUAGCCCUCAGAACCGACGCCAGAACUUCGAGGUGGCCUUCUCAUCUGCGGAGACCCAUGCGGACUGCCCGCAGCUCCUGGAUACAGAGGACAUGGUGCGGCUUCGAGAGCCUGACUGGAAGUGCGUGUACACGUACAUCCAGGAGUUCUACCGCUGUCUGGUCCAGAAGGGGCUGGUAAAAACCAAAAAGUCCUAACCCCUGCUCGGGGCCCCACGGAUGCUGGUGGACUGUGUGCCCCUGGUGGAGGUGGACGACAUGAUGAUCAUGGGCAAGAAGCCUGACCCCAAGUGUGUCUUCACCUAUGUGCAGUCGCUCUACAACCACCUGCGACGCCACGAACUGCGCCUGCGCGGCAAGAAUGUCUAGCCUCCCCGCCCGCAUGGCCAGCCAGUGGCAAGCUGCCGCCCCCACUCUCCGGGCACCGUCUCCUGCCUGUGCGUCCGCCCACCGCUGCCCUGUCUGUUGCGACACCCUCCCCCCCACAUACACACGCAGCGUUUUGAUAAAUUAUUGGUUUUCAACG